UCUCUGAGGCAAAGACUUAACAUUCUAGACCUCUUCAAUAAACCAACCACAAGUGUUCAAAAGUCAUUAAUUGGGCCCCAAAAAGUUUGGCUUAAAUCAUGAGGUUGUUUAAAGUGUUUCCUUCUUUAAAUGCCUUCUGCUUUCUGAGCCUUUUGGGUGCUCUCACUGGGUUGGUAAGCUUUUCUCAUCAACCAAACGACUUGUUUAAAUUAAACAUUUUCAGGCAAUCUCUGGAUUUGAGCAGCUGAGUCUUUAACAAAGAUACCAACCACCAUGAGACUGGCAACGAAAUAGGAGAGGCUUUUCAAUUUCCUGGUGCAAGCCAGAAUGGAGCCAGGAUCAGUAGACGCUGCACAUGAACUCAUUGUCAUUUUAUAAGAGUCCAUGAGUCAGGAUCAUGAAGUGGAUGGUUGAGAACCAGUGUGACACCUUCUUCCAUGCAAGCAUGGCAGUCCUGAGGAUCUGCUAGGGUGGUAUGGAACUCCUCUGAAUGAUUAUAAAGGGUUUACACCAUA
Long non-coding RNA from Mauremys reevesii (Reeves's turtle), 515 nucleotides. RefSeq lists it as uncharacterized. The record is from RefSeq and is a predicted model, not a curated record. Lineage: Eukaryota; Metazoa; Chordata; Testudines; Geoemydidae. The transcript is spliced from 2 exons.